This 478-nucleotide ribosomal RNA is filed under the name uncultured bacterium. RNAcentral's name for it is "partial 16S ribosomal RNA". It matches the Rfam family "Bacterial small subunit ribosomal RNA", at positions 28 to 523 of the family's 1533-position model. The record is from RNAcentral.
GACGAACGCUGGCGGCGUGCUUAACACAUGCAAGUCGAGCGAUGAAGCUCCUUCGGGAGUGGAUUAGCGGCGGACGGGUGAGUAACACGUGGGUAACCUGCCUCAUAGAGGGGAAUAGCCUUCCGAAAGGAAGAUUAAUACCGCAUAAGAUUGUAGCUUCGCAUGAAGCAGCAAUUAAAGGAGCAAUCCGCUAUGUGAUGGACCCGCGUCGCAUUAGCUAGUUGGUGAGGUAACGGCUCACCAAGGCGACGAUGCGUAGCCGACCUGAGAGGGUGAUCGGCCACAUUGGGACUGAGACACGGCCCAGACUCCUACGGGAGGCAGCAGUGGGGAAUAUUGCACAAUGGGGGAAACCCUGAUGCAGCAACGCCGCGUGAGUGAUGACGGUCUUCGGAUUGUAAAACUCUGUCUUCAGGGACGAUAAUGACGGUACCUGAGGAGGAAGCCACGGCUAACUACGUGCCAGCCGCCGCAGUAA